This 214-nucleotide ribosomal RNA is filed under the name uncultured bacterium. Its description in RNAcentral is "partial 16S ribosomal RNA". It matches the Rfam family "Bacterial small subunit ribosomal RNA", at positions 1287 to 1500 of the family's 1533-position model. The record is from RNAcentral.
CUCAGUUCGGAUUGUAGGCUGAAAUCGCCUACAUGAAGCUGGAAUUACUAGUAAUCGCAGAUCAGAAUGCUGCGGUGAAUGCGUUCCCGGGUCUUGUACACACCGCCGUCACACCACGGAAGUUGGGGGCGCCCGAAGCCACUUAGCUAACCCUUUUGGGAAGCGAGUGUCGAAGGUGAAAUCAAUAACUGGGGUGAAGUCGUAACAAGGUAGC